Vicugna pacos (alpaca) is the source of this 3422-nucleotide non-coding RNA. NCBI's taxonomy places the organism in Eukaryota, Metazoa, Chordata, Mammalia, Artiodactyla, Camelidae. The record is from RefSeq and is a predicted model, not a curated record.
GCGGAGCUCCAGGGAGCCCUCUGGGACCGAAACUUUCCGCGUUGCCGGCCCGCACCCUAGCUGGGAGUAGGGAGCCGUUGGGGGAGGGUCAUCCGGGGGACUUAAAGUGCGCGUGCACUGUGCACGGCGGGCGGAGGCGGGGAGGCGGCUGGCCACCCCCAGAGCCACAGGCACCUGGGCAGGGUCCGGCCACGCCGCAAUCGAACGCGCCCAGGCUCCAGAAGAGGCCAUAUAGGAUUCCUGGAAAAGACCCGCCACAUUCCCGCCCCCAGUCCCGCGAACCCACAAAGUGCUGAGUAACGAUUACCAGGAAGUCUCUCUCUGCCCCUCCUUUCCGGAAUUUACCGUGACGGUUCUCUUCUCUACCCUCCUCCUUUCACUGGUGAACUUGCUGCUCCAGCGUGACACAGCACUUUAAGGGACAGGCUGGGCACCUCCGAACAGACUGCUGUUGUGGGUUCUAAGUGUGGCCAGAGUGACGCAGUUGUGACCCUGAGCAGACCGUGAACUCCCGUUCCCUCAGUUUUCCUUUAUGUAAAAUGAGCAUCAAGAUGGUCCCUAACUCCUGGUGGUGAUAUUUUGAGGAUUAAAUAAAGUGCCUGUACAUUGAUGGGGCUAGUGCUCGGCACAUGGUGGUAGAGCCUGGAACAGAGAAGCAGGCCAUUUGCGUUGAUACAGGAUUGCCUGUUGCAGGCUGGGUUUGGAGCACUGGGGAUUGGGAAAGGUGCGUAUUCUAGCUGGCAUUAGGAAGCCAGGAGGGCCUGUGGGUAGCUGGGAGUAGAAGUGGGGAAGCUGCUGAGCUGGAGAGAGGCAUGAGAGCCAGAUGCCUGGAAAGAGUGGGAUGAAUUGGGGCAAGAAGGUGGAGCAUGAUUUUCCGAUGGAGCAGCUCUCGGUGCAUCUAGGUGUGAUUGGCUGGGAUGGUGACAUUCCUCCCUGGCUUCUCCCUAGGGUCCCUGGCUUCCUUCUCUCUGCGCUUUCAGAGGGGAAUGAAGAAAACCAGAGGUUUUGAACCUACUGUGCAACGUUUCUGGAAGGUUGAGGAGCGCAGGGCUGUGGGUAAGGAUGUAGACAAGGGACACGUUCUAAGGACAGUCCUAGACUGAAGGAGGAACUUUUGCAUAGAGAAUAAGGACUAGUAGGGCACAGAAGAGGCCUCGUGGGGUACCAGGAGCAGAACAUGGCUUUUCUGCUGCUGUAUCUUCAGCCCAACUUUCAUCCAAGCUUCUGCGCCUCUCUGUUAGUUGUACAUUUUAUGUGGGAGAUGGCAAUAAAUGUGCUGUAGGAAGGAGAGGUACAGAUCUCCAGUGGCCAUCCAGUCCACCCUCUGACAUCUCCUCUUCAAGGACGUUCCAAAUAUCCAGUGACACAAUUAGAGGAGGUACUGACUCCGCUCCACCUUCCUGGACCAACAUAGAGUAGAUAUGGGGGCUGUUACAAUGACAGAGAACAGGGAACUGGGAGGCUAGCAUGUGUGUUAAGAGGCCAGACUCUGCAAUUAGAUUCCCGGUCUUCAUCCCCACUCUCCCACUGAGUGGCUGGGUAACCCUAGACAAGCCUAAAUGGCCUUCCUGUGCCUCAGUUUCCUCAUCUAUAAAAUGGGGAUAAUAAUACCUCAUGCUAUUGGAAGGGCUGAGUGAGAUAAAAUAUACAUAAAGUGCUUAGAACCAUGCCUGGUACGCAGUAAGUGGCAUAUGAACUCGGAUUAUAGGCUAUGAAGGGAAUGGUGAAAUCCUUCUGGAACGAUGGCAGAGGUGGAAGGGGAGACCUGAGAACAGCCCUAAGUGAAUCAAGUCAUCAGGAAAUUAGUACAGAACAGUGAGCUCUAUAACAUCAGUCUCAAAGGAAUUUUUCCCCUCACAGCAUGAAAGAAAAGUGGGCCUGACCUGGCCCUACCCAAAGAGGAAGGUCCCCUGCCACAGGGACAUGGGACACUUAGUCCUUAACAGUUCAGCUGUGGCCAGGAGAUGACAUUCUGGGAAGAGUGUGAGGUGUGGAGGAAUUGCUGGGACAGCCCAGUGAGGGAGGAUCUGUUUGUACUGAGAGGUCGAGGCGAGAAGAGGAGAGAGGGUGAUGGAAAGGUCGCGCGAGGGCCUGGUUCUGCGCAUUAGUCAGAACUCGUUAAGUUUUAAGAAGAAAUUCCAACUCAAAUGACUUCAACACAAAAGAAUUAGUAACGCGUACUCCUGGGAACUCCAGAGCCCACAGAUGUCCUGGGAGCACCGUGGGUAUUGUUUCAUUCUCAGUGGGCUCUCCACCUAGUGUCUCCACCUGGUCCAGGCUCCUGCAGACUUAGGUCCCUACUGUUUUAGUGUCCCCGAAGGAAGAGCGCUCCUCUCCCGGUUCUAGUAACUGCCUGGGAUGCUGCCCUUCACUGACCUGAAUGGGGGGAGGGGUGGGAGGGGAGAGGCAUCAGCUUUGCUUGAACCAAUCAUUUCCACCAGGAGUGAGGAAAAUCCAGGGGGUUACCAGAGGAAAGGGGAAAUGCAUUUUGGACAGGCAAAAUUGGUAUUCCUACGUCAUCUGGAAGAGCAGAGGCUUGUAGCCUGGGUGAUGAGCUUGCUUCAGGUUUCCGGGUCGGCUCAGUCUGAGGCUCCCUGGGGAAUUAGAAAACUAGGUUUGCUGUCUUUGUUCAGGUCUGACUUGAAGAAAAUGCAGCCCUAGGGCUUCUGAAGCAAGCUUUUCUCAGAUGGUAGAUUUCUCUAAGUAUGGCCCUCAAUCGCCUCCUUCAGCAUCGCUGAAGCUACUUGAUGAUACUGCAGAUUUUUGGGCCACACCCGGACAGACUUAGGGAAUCGCAGUCUUUUGAGGCAGAUCCCUGGAGUCAGCAUUUUUAAAACAGCAUCUCAGGUGAUUAGGGACACUAAGAUUUGAUCAGUUUUGCCCUGGGAUCUCCAAGGGGAUCCCCGCAUGAGUUAAGCUUAAAGACUCCGUCUAGAAGGAGAGUUGCAAUGAAGAAACACAAAAGAGAACAUGCUAAGUGGUAUAAAAUUGGGAGCUCAAAAUACUAUGGUAAAGAAGAUGGAAGGCAAAGGAACAAAUAAAAGCGUGAAACAGUCCUUCAGUGCCGGGCCUGAAACUGGGUGUGUCACAUCAUUCAUCUCAACAUCCCCUAGAAGAUAGAUUUAUAUUCUUCCCAUUUUACAGAGAAGAAAAUCAAGAUCCAGAGAGGUCGUCUGGUCACAUGAAAUGUGCACCAACUCUUAGACCUUGUUCCUGAAGGGGAGGAAGUGUCAGCCCAGUUUUCAAGCCAGCCCAUUCACAUAUCUUUAAAUACCCCUGGUUUCACCAGUGACAAAUAUCUAACAUUCCUUAUGCUAAUUUACAAACUCUAACUGUAAGGGUAUUUCCCCUUUGCUGCUUCCGGAUUCUUUUUUCUCCUUCAAGAAUCCUGUGCAUAUCAUUACUGAAAGAAAAAAAAAAAA